Molecule: ribosomal RNA, 872 nt
Filed under: uncultured bacterium
Lineage: Bacteria
Description: bacterial SSU rRNA
Rfam family: Bacterial small subunit ribosomal RNA
Source: RNAcentral
CACAUGCAAGUCGAGGGGCAGCAUCAUUAAAGCUUGCUUUGAUGGAUGGCGACCGGCGCACGGGUGAGUAACACGUAUCCAACCUGCCGACAACACUGGGAUAGCCUUUCGAAAGAAAGAUUAAUACCGGAUGGCAUAGUCUUCCCGCAUGGGAUGACUAUUAAAGAAUUUCGGUUGUCGAUGGGGAUGCGUUCCAUUAGGCAGUUGGCGGGGUAACGGCCCACCAAACCAACGAUGGAUAGGGGUUCUGAGAGGAAGGUCCCCCACAUUGGAACUGAGACACGGUCCAAACUCCUACGGGAGGCAGCAGUGAGGAAUAUUGGUCAAUGGACGAGAGUCUGAACCAGCCAAGUAGCGUGAAGGAUGACUGCCCUAUGGGUUGUAAACUUCUUUUAUACGGGAAUAAAGUGAGCCACGUGUGGCUUUUUGUAUGUACCGUAUGAAUAAGGAUCGGCUAACUCCGUGCCAGCAGCCGCGGUAAUACGGAGGAUCCGAGCGUUAUCCGGAUUUAUUGGGUUUAAAGGGAGCGUAGGCGGGUUGUUAAGUCAGUUGUGAAAGUUUGCGGCUCAACCGUAAAAUUGCAGUUGAUACUGGCGACCUUGAGUGCAACAGAGGUAGGCGGAAUUCGUGGUGUAGCGGUGAAAUGCUUAGAUAUCACGAAGAACUCCGAUUGCGAAGGCAGCUUACUGGAUUGUAACUGACGCUGAUGCUCGAAAGUGUGGGUAUCAAACAGGAUUAGAUACCCUGGUAGUCCACACAGUAAACGAUGAAUACUCGCUGUUGGCGAUAUACGGUCAGCGGCCAAGCGAAAGCAUUAAGUGUUCCACCUGGGGAGUACGCCGGCAACGGUGAAACUCAAAGGAAUUGACGGG